This 203-nucleotide long non-coding RNA is filed under the name Solanum tuberosum (potato). Its description in RNAcentral is "long non-coding RNA (STUB_LNC009780)". Lineage: Eukaryota; Viridiplantae; Streptophyta; Magnoliopsida; Solanales; Solanaceae. The record is from RNAcentral.
CCUUGGCCUCUGCGUGAACUUCAAACACUCAACAAAAAUGACACAUCGUCAUCCACGUCAGAUUUUAAUGACACGUCAUUAAUUAUUACUUUUUUUAAAAAAAAUAUUUUUUUCUUUUUCUCUUCAUUCCUCCUCAUGCUUCCUUAAACCUGUCUCUCUCCAUUUUUAAAAUUAGAUCUCAUCACCACAAUGUUCCAUCUUCA